UACGUAGGGGGCAAGCGUUGUCCGGAAUCAUUGGGCGUAAAGAGCGUGUAGGCGGUCCGGUAAGUCGGCUGUGAAAGUCCAGGGCUCAACCCUGGGAUGCCGGUCGAUACUGCCGGACUAGAGUUCGGAAGAGGCGAGUGGAAGUUCCCGGUGUAGCGGUGAAAUGCGCAGAUAUCGGGGAGGAACACCUAUGGCGAAGGCAGCUCGCUGGGACGUUA
This 218-nucleotide ribosomal RNA is filed under the name uncultured bacterium. Its description in RNAcentral is "partial 16S ribosomal RNA". It matches the Rfam family "Bacterial small subunit ribosomal RNA", at positions 524 to 739 of the family's 1533-position model. The record is from RNAcentral.